This 6194-nucleotide long non-coding RNA is filed under the name Linum usitatissimum (flax). Its description in RNAcentral is "long non-coding RNA (LUSI_LNC007495)". Lineage: Eukaryota; Viridiplantae; Streptophyta; Magnoliopsida; Malpighiales; Linaceae. The record is from RNAcentral.
UAACACUUAUGUAGUCAGAGAGUCACUCCUCACCAUUAUCAUACGAGCGAAGACAACAGUCGUCUAACCCUCUGUUCGCGGCGGUGGCGACGACGCACUCUUUUUUUUCUUCCUUGAUUAUGAGAACUUGAGAGGUAACCCUAUAAAGCUCUAAUCUUGAUACAAUCUCGUCCCUUCCAUUUAAUUCCCUUCACAAGUGUAGUACGCUUUGGCUUUGUUCAAUUCUAGGAGCUCUUACCAACUUCUCGACGACAGCAAUCUUUGGGAAAUUUUGGAUUAAUACCUCUGGAUCGACCCAGUCCCUCCAAAGCCUCCUGUUAGCAUCAGACAAAGGUUAGGAACUCUUUCGACUAAUUAGUUUUGAUUUCGGUCGAGUUUACUUGUGUAUUAAGCCUUCGUUGGAGCUAGGUUCACCUCCACCAAAUUUUGUGUUCAUGUUAAGAAUUUUGUGGGAUAAGAUGAUUGGAUAAUGUCUAUAGUGAUACCUACAUUUUUCAGUAUUUCCGUUUCAAUCACUAAACUUGUAGAAAUUAGAAUCGGUACUCAUCGCUUAAUAAAUUGCCUGACGUAAAUAAACUAUUGAUAUCUGCCUGUUUAGUAAUCAACUUUCUCCUUUUAGCUGCCACGACUUGAACUUUCUAGUUGUGACAUAAUACACCCAAAUAAUUUAUUAUGUAGUUUAAUCUAGUAUGAAAAUUCGGUUAAUUUUUUUUUGUAAAUUAUUAUAUUAUAGAAUUGAUUCCUAAUUGAUUUAAAGCUUGUCAUUGAUAAUAGAUUGCUAGUAUGAAACUCACUAUAUAAUAAAAACAAAGAAUUGUUUAUAAUAAUUUGAUAAUAGAAUAGAUUUAAAUUAUGAAUUAGUUAUUACUAGUUCAUACAAAGUAGACUCUUUAGUUCAUAAAUUAGACAUGAUCAAUAUCCGGUUCUUCUAGGAAAAUUAAUUAGAUCAUAAGAUCGAUUACUAACAUGAUUGAGAUUACAAAUAAUUAGUAGAGCAUAAUCAUGUGUAAAUGAAUUCGUUUGUCACACUUCACAAUCGACCAUGAAGUGGUUUUUCCCCAAGUCGACGAAUCGCCAUCCUAGACUUCUUCAACUAGGAUUGGAUUAAGUUUAAUCUUCAUAUUCUCGUCUUUAAGUUCUUAAAGACGAUCGGCUCUAUAGACCGGACUCUGAUUGCUACAUUGAGCCGCUCCCGCUUAUUUAUAAGGUGGGUGGUUUAAGGGGAUAAAUUCUUAUCGUUGCUAUAGUUAGGUUAUGCAUGUUUUAUGUUAUGUUUAAAUUAUGUAGUUCAAUUCAUUUAUGUUGAAGUCAUUUACUUUAUUCUUAUGAUGCUCUUAUGUGCAUAUAUGAUUAAGUAAGCUAGAAAAUGAUAUGAUUAAGUAGUUAGUGAACAGAAAGAACUACCAUAAGCCUAGACCUUUAGUAGACAACCUAGUAGUCAAGUGAUAUAGCAGAACAAAGCUAUUUACCUAGACUCCUGAUCCAGAAUGUCAGUGUAUGACCUUGGACCUCUAGAGAUCCACUGUUAUCAAUUGGACCACUAGAGAUCCAAUGUUUGCAUUUCAGAUCACCAGAGAUUCGUUAUUAGCUAUUGGGCCACUAGAGUCUCGUUUUUAGCUUUUGGGCCACUAGAGUCCGAUAUGAUAGUACUGGGCCACUAAAGUCCAACAUGAUAGUACUAGGCCACCAGAGACCCAUGGUGUUAUAUUAACUUUGACAAAUGGAUGGUAGGUCUAGUGAGAUGAGUUUAGGGGACGCCCUGUAGUUAUGAUAUCCUAGAUGUAUGAUGCUAGCUGAAGUUAGACAACCUUAGUAGUGGUUGAAGAGUAAUGGAAAUGAAUUUUAGCUCUAUAUGAUUCGAUGAAAUUGUGCCUUUAUGUCAGUAUAUUGAUUAUUAAGAUUAGAGCACAAAAGACUAACCCCAUCCCAGCUCAUCUUGAAGUCGAUGUUAAGAAUAUUAAACUCCUCACAAGCUUUCGAUACAACGUUGGAUCUCAAACAGGUUCGCCCACAUCCCAGCUCAUCUUCACAUCGAGUUCAACAGGAGGACUAAACGGCUUACAAUCAGUGUGUCAACCACAGAGGAGGAGAUCAACAAUGUAUUUGAGUUGAGUAACAAACACACCACUAUCAUUACGAGUAAUUUCCAAACCAAGAAAAUAACUGAGGUCACCGAGCUCCUUCAUUUUAAAGUGAUAUCGCUGGAGGUUCUCAAGUUUAGCUAUACCGUCACCAUUGCUUCCGGUGAUGAUCAUGUCAUCAACAUAUACAAGAAUGAAUGUAAUGCUGCGAGGUAACUACUUGAUAAACAGAGAGGGGUCAUUAAUACUUUGAAUGAACCCUCCUUCUAAAAUUGUAUCCUGAAACUUCUCGAACCAUGCGCGAGGGACUUGUUUGAGACCAUAUAGAGAAUGAUGAAGAAGGAAAACCUGACGAGGUGUAGAGUCGGCAUACCUCGGGGAACACGCCAUGUAUACUAUCUCCUUUAAAUUACCAUGGAGAAAGGCAUUCUUCACGUCGAGCUAUAGGUUGCCAGCAAGAUUCAGAUAGUUUGCAUUUUAGAAAAAGAAGCAAAGGUCUCAUUGUAAUCAACCCCCACUCCUGACGAUACCCUUGAGCAACAAGGCGGGCUUUAAAGCGAUUAACAUUCCCAUCCGGUUGAUACUUUACCGUAUAGACCCACCGACUUCAUAUCAGAGAGAUAUUCGGUGGAUGAGGCACCAAGUCCCACGUAUGGUUCUCGUGUAGGGCGCGUAAUUCCUUAUCCAUUGCAGCUCGUCAUCAUGGAUCCUAAAUAGCUUGUGCAAAUGUCGUAGGAAUUUCCACCGGGUCUACAUAAUAUGUGAAAAAGUCCUGAAGGUGGCAGCAAAGCUGACCAAACGUCGGACGUGGUAACCUGUAAUUGCUCUGGUGAUGGUAGAGGAGAUACAUGAGGAGUGCAUUUGGUAGCUGCGGUGAUGGCGGAUGAUCAGGGUUCAUCCCAAGGUCCACGUCCACGUGGUCAUCAAGAGGAGGGUCCUCCAAAAAUAAAUCAAGAGAUGGUGCAGGUCCAGCGACAGUAGGUGAUUGCUCUGCAUAAUAGUAGUUAUUCUCCAAGAAGAAAACAUGAUAAGAAAGUCACAUCCAUCGAAAAUGAGGAUCAUAACACAUAUACCCUUUAUGAACAUCACUAUAACCAAGAAACACACUGUGCAGUUUUAGUAGUCAACUUAGUUCGUUCACAUACAGGAAGAAGCACAUAACAAAUAUAGCUGAAUACCUGGAGACGGUCAUAAGACGACGCACGACGAUAUAAGGCCUGAUAUGGACAGGUAGUCUGCAAGACAUGAGUAACCUAUCGGUAAAUUAAGUAGAUAACCGUGUGACAUGGUAUUACUGCCCGAGUGAGACCAAGAACAUGACUAUGUUUGCAUUCGACAACUCCAUCUUAUUGAGAGAUACCCGGACACGACAUUUGAGAGAGAAUACCAUGCUCCCUAUCAAACUGGUGUAAGGCGGUAGAGUUGAAUUUGCCACCAGGAUCAGAUCGAAUUGUUUUAACGGCGGUAUGAAAUUGAGUCUGAACUAUCUGAAUAAACUCUUGAGUAGCAUUAAGAAACUCUGAUUGAAACCGCAGAAAAUAAAUCCAUGUAUACCGAGUAGCAUGAUCAAUGAAGAGUGCAAAGUACUGGUAACCCAAACGUGAAACAACUAGUGCAUGCCCUUAUAAAUAAGUAUGAACAAGAUCAAAAGGUGUUGAAAUAUCAUUCGUACUGCUAGUAAAGGUCUGUUAACUGUCUUGGCCUCAAUACAACUAGUACAAGAUGGAAUAAGCUGAUCAUUUAACUUAAUACUAAAAGUUAAUAAAUUUUCUUGAAACAUAGUAGUAAGGCAUUCAGAAUGGGGAUGUCCCAAACGUGAAUACCAUAAUCUCCAUGCUGCAAAUCCUGGACGAGUGCCAUUAGUCGGCAGAGGGGAAGACUCUGAAACGGGAUUAAGUUGCUAGAGACAAAAUGUGCACCCUUGUUUACUCCCCUUCCCGACCUCCUUAUGGGUUCGUAGAUCCUACACAGAACAACCAGAGGAUUUGAAUGUGACACGAUAUCCAUUAUUGAUAAGCUGACCAACAGAGAGUAAAUUAGGAGUGAAUUGGGGCACAUGGAGAACGUUGUCGAGACAAAGUGAGGGUGUGGAGAUAGAUCCAUAACCAGCAACAGGUAUAGUAUCAUCAUUAGCCACACGGGCAUUAUGACUUUAUAUAGGGAAGUAGGUGCUAAAAAGAGAUUUAUCUCCUAUCAUGUGAUUGUAAGCAACAGUAGUAGCAAAUGCUGAAUGUAUUCUAGAAGAAAGCAAUAUAGGAAGUGCUUGUUGUACAAGGGCUUCGAUGGAAGUAGCCGAGAGUGGAUCAGGGGUCUCAGUCGAGUGAACAGAAGCAGCAACAGUAGUAUAGGCGUUAAGACCUGCUUAGUUCAAUGAUUUGGCAGCUCGAUUUUUCAGAAUCGGACAGUCCAGUAUAAUGUGAUCGUGAGUUUUGCAAAAAUUCCUCUUGUGGUAGUGCAAUGUAUUGUGCCCUUUGAUACUGCAGUGAUGACAAAAAGCAUCCACAGAUGAAGUCGAGGCAGCAACCAUAGAGGAUGAUUUAUGGUUUGAGUUAUAAGUUGGUGCCGCCGCAAAAAACGCGAAUGAGGGUGAGCUAGGAGGAUCAAUCUGAGCUUGCGUUUUAAAACACGUUUCAACACGAAUCUAUUCACCCAAGACCUGUUCCAAGUCAGUAGUAUUGUUGCUAACCAUUAUAGACCAGACAUGUUCAAACUCGAGUUGAAGCCGCAUAAGAAAGUGGAGGACUCGACUGUGGUGUCGUUCCUUAGUGAGAGAUGCACUUGUAACAUAAUCAUGAAUGGAAAUAGCCAUAAGAUCUUGUUCCGCCUAGAGUUGACUCGCUGUGAGAUAAUACCUAUGAAUGUCGAGGUCGCCUUGACACAGUUUAGCAAGCUCGUACUCAACUUCAAGUGCUUCCAGAUCAUUGAGGCUGAUGUAAAACAUCAGAGAGAAAGCAUGAUUGGGGCCGUAACCGAGCCAAGAAUCCAAUAGACCACCUUGGCGUUGUUGUUUUCUCAAGUAAGAGCAGCCUUUUCAUGAGAUUUGGUCGUUGUCGCCGUCACGGGAACAGCCUCUGAAUCAGUAGUAAUCGACGUAGCAGAAGGAGGAGUAGGAGCGGCCGUAUCUCCAUUAAGAUACCCGAGAAACCCAUUUGCUUGAACGUGGAGACGAAAUUGAUGUUCCCAAAAAGCGUAAUUUUUUUCCAACGAAGCGAGUAGUAACAUAAUCAUCUUUGAAAGUCCAUCGAAGGCUCUGAUACCAUGAAUAGCUAUGAGAAAUUGAGAGAAGAGGAUGAUCAAAGAUAGGACAAAAGCCAAUUAUAUUGCUUAAGGAGUUUGAUUACAAUUCAAGGAUUAUGUAUAGGUUAGGAAGACUUAACCUAAACCCUAUAAUAUAGGAAUCAAUAAAUAUAUUGACAAAAUAUAUAUUCCCAUUUUAAUAAGUGUAAACUCAAAAACGAGGAUACAUGGGGCAGGGGUCGUCAUUAAAAGCAUAACAUGACCCUUUUCCUUACUCUCCUGACAAAUUAAUACCAAAAUCAGCUAACCUAGACACUUGACAUAACCCAAAAUUCAAACAAAAACAACUAGUAAUCAUCCGAAAAGAAAAGCAACAAAAUCAAAUCAAAAUCCGAACAUGCCUAGUCUAUUUAGAGGAAGAAAAAAAGAGUGCGUAGAGGAAACUAUGGUCGUCUGCCGUUGUCUAUUCAAGGUGACCCGCCUCCGUAGUGCCGUUCUGAUGCCAUAGCUAUGCUUUUUGCAGAAUUUUGAUGGUUUGUGACCGAAGUUUUAAUCCAAGGACAUGUCUAUAACCUGCCGUUCCACCAUCGUCGUAGUCAUUGAAGCCAUCGCCAGAUCUGGAUCCAUUGUGCAAAGGAGCGAUGACAUAGAGGUUGUUUGCCGCAGGGGAUCCGACCUAAUAGUGAAAUCGAGCAAAGAGGAUGUUUCGCUACGGAAAUCCGAGCUGGUGAGGAUGCCCCUUAAAAGUACGAUCUGAUGAUGAUGUUCGCGGAGUAUGAGCUGGUGGUGAAAUGGAUGAUAGAUGGGUGGCGGCGGGUUGGAUAGAUGAUGGGAGGCGGGUUGGACAGUUGAUUUGUAGGAGCGACGAGUUUGAAC